RNAcentral lists this ribosomal RNA (1758 nucleotides) under human gut metagenome. RNAcentral's name for it is "bacterial LSU rRNA". It matches the Rfam family "Bacterial large subunit ribosomal RNA", at positions 228 to 1987 of the family's 2925-position model. The record is from RNAcentral.
AAAUCGAUUCCCUGAGUAGCGGCGAGCGAAACGGGAAGAGCCCAAACCAACAAGCUUGCUUGUUGGGGUUGUAGGACACUCUAUACGGAGUUACAAAAGAACAUGUUAGACGAAUCAUCUGGAAAGAUGAAUCAAAGAAGGUAAUAAUCCUGUAGUCGAAAACAUAUUCUCUCUUGAGUGGAUCCUGAGUACGACGGAGCACGUGAAAUUCCGUCGGAAUCUGGGAGGACCAUCUCCUAAGGCUAAAUACUCUCUAGUGACCGAUAGUGAACCAGUACCGUGAGGGAAAGGUGAAAAGUACCCCGGAAGGGGAGUGAAAGAGAACUUGAAACCGUGUGCUUACAAGUAGUCAGAGCCCGUUAAUGGGUGAUGGCGUGCCUUUUGUAGAAUGAACCGGCGAGUUACGAUCUGAUGCAAGGUUAAGCAGCAAAUGUGGAGCCGCAGCGAAAGCGAGUCUGAAUAGGGCGUUGAGUAUUUGGUCGUAGACCCGAAACCAGGUGAUCUACCCUUGGUCAGGUUGAAGUUCAGGUAACACUGAAUGGAGGACCGAACCGACUUACGUUGAAAAGUGAGCGGAUGAACUGAGGGUAGCGGAGAAAUUCCAAUCGAACUUGGAGAUAGCUGGUUCUCUCCGAAAUAGCUUUAGGGCUAGCCUCAAGUGAUGAUUAUUGGAGGUAGAGCACUGUUUGGACGAGGGGCCCCUCUCGGGUUACCGAAUUCAGACAAACUCCGAAUGCCAAUUAAUUUAACUUGGGAGUCAGAACAUGGGUGAUAAGGUCCGUGUUCGAAAGGGAAACAGCCCAGACCACCAGCUAAGGUCCCAAAAUAUAUGUUAAGUGGAAAAGGAUGUGGCGUUGCCCAGACAACUAGGAUGUUGGCUUAGAAGCAGCCAUCAUUUAAAGAGUGCGUAAUAGCUCACUAGUCGAGUGACACUGCGCCGAAAAUGUACCGGGGCUAAACAUAUUACCGAAGCUGUGGAUUGUCCUUUGGACAAUGGUAGGAGAGCGUUCUAAGGGCGUCGAAGCAUGAUCGCAAGGACAUGUGGAGCGCUUAGAAGUGAGAAUGCCGGUGUGAGUAGCGAAAGACGGGUGAGAAUCCCGUCCACCGAUUGACUAAGGUUUCCAGAGGAAGGCUCGUCCGCUCUGGGUUAGUCGGGUCCUAAGCUGAGGCCGACAGGCGUAGGCGAUGGAUAACAGGUUGAUAUUCCUGUACCACCUAGUAUCGUUUUAAUCGAUGGGGGGACGCAGUAGGAUAGGCGAAGCGUGCUGUUGGAGUGCACGUCCAAGCAGUAAGGCUGAGUGUUAGGCAAAUCCGGCACUCAUAAGGCUGAGCUGUGAUGGGGAGAGGAAAUUGUUUCCUCGAGUCGUUGAUUUCACACUGCCGAGAAAAGCCUCUAGAUAGAUAACAGGUGCCCGUACCGCAAACCGACACAGGUAGUCAAGAUGAGAAUUCUAAGGUGAGCGAGCGAACUCUCGUUAAGGAACUCGGCAAAAUGACCCCGUAACUUCGGGAGAAGGGGUGCUCUUUAGGGUUCACGCCCAGAAGAGCCGCAGUGAAUAGGCCCAAGCGACUGUUUAUCAAAAACACAGGUCUCUGCUAAACCGUAAGGUGAUGUAUAGGGGCUGACGCCUGCCCGGUGCUGGAAGGUUAAGAGGAGUGGUUAGCUUCUGCGAAGCUACGAAUCGAAGCCCCAGUAAACGGCGGCCGUAACUAUAACGGUCCUAAGGUAGCGAAAUUCCUUGUCGGGUAAGUUCCGAC